ACUCCUACGGGAGGCAGCAGUGGGGAAUCUUGGACAAUGGGCGCAAGCCUGAUCCAGCCAUGCCGCGUGAGUGAUGAAGGCCUUAGGGUCGUAAAAGCUCUUUCGCCAGAGAUGAUAAUGACAGUAUCUGGUAAAGAAACCCCGGCUAACUCCGUGCCAGCAGCCGCGGUAAUACGGAGGGGGUUAGCGUUGUUCGGAAUUACUGGGCGUAAAGCGCGCGUAGGCGGACUAGUCAGUCAGGGGUGAAAUCCCGGGGACUCAACCCCGGAACUGCCUUUGAUACUGCUAGUCUAGAGUUCGAGAGAGGUGAGUGGAAUUCCGAGUGUAGAGGUGAAAUUCGUAGAUAUUCGGAGGAACACCAGUGGCGAAGGCGGCUCACUGGCUCGAUACUGACGCUGAGGUGCGAAAGUGUGGGGGAGCAAACAGGAUUAGAUACCCUGGUAGACAUCAC
Molecule: ribosomal RNA, 451 nt
Filed under: uncultured bacterium
Lineage: Bacteria
Description: bacterial SSU rRNA
Rfam family: Bacterial small subunit ribosomal RNA
Source: RNAcentral